GGACUACUGGGGUUUCUAAUCCUGUUUGCUCCCCACGCUUUCGCGUCUCAGCGUCAGUUACUGUCCAGAAGGCCGCCUUCGCCACCGGUGUUCCGCUUGAUAUCUACGAAUUUCACCUCUACACCAAGCAUUCCACCUUCCUCUCCAGAACUCUAGCCCUGUAGUUUCGAGUGCACUUCCACGGUUGAGCCGUGGGAUUUCACACCCGACUUACAGGGCCGCCUACACGCGCUUUACGCCCAGUAAUUCCGAACAACGUUUGCACCCUCUGUCUUACCGCGGCUGCUGGCAC
This 292-nucleotide ribosomal RNA is filed under the name uncultured bacterium. RNAcentral's name for it is "partial 16S ribosomal RNA". The record is from RNAcentral.